This 497-nucleotide ribosomal RNA is filed under the name uncultured bacterium. RNAcentral's name for it is "partial 16S ribosomal RNA". It matches the Rfam family "Bacterial small subunit ribosomal RNA", at positions 28 to 507 of the family's 1533-position model. The record is from RNAcentral.
GAUGAACGCUGGCGGCGUGCCUAAUACAUGCAAGUCGAGCGAACAGACGAGGAGCUUGCUCCUCUGACGUUAGCGGCGGACGGGUGAGUAACACGUGGAUAACCUACCUAUAAGACUGGGAUAACUUCGGGAAACCGGUGCUAAUACCGGAUAAUAUAUUGAACCGCAUGGUUCAAUAGUGAAAGACGGUUUUGCUGUCACUUAUAGAUGGAUCCGCGUCGCAUUAGCUAGUUGGUAAGGUAACGGCUUACCAAGGCGACGAUUCGUAGCCGACCUGAGAGGGUGAUCGGCCACACUGGAACUGAGACACGGUCCAGACUCCUACGGGAGGCAGCAGUAGGGAAUCUUCCGCAAUGGGCGAAAGCCUGACGGAGCAACGCCGCGUGAGUGAUGAAGGUCUUCGGAUCGUAAAACUCUGUUAUUAGGGAAGAACAAAUGUGUAAGUAACUAUGCACGUCUUGACGGUACCUAAUCAGAAAGCCACGGCUAACUACGUG